This 45-nucleotide non-coding RNA is filed under the name Schistosoma mansoni. Lineage: Eukaryota; Metazoa; Platyhelminthes; Trematoda; Strigeidida; Schistosomatidae. The record is from RNAcentral.
AUGCAGCUGAUGAGUCCCAAAUAGGACGAAACGCGCGUCCUGAAU